Molecule: ribosomal RNA, 251 nt
Filed under: uncultured bacterium
Lineage: Bacteria
Description: partial 16S ribosomal RNA
Rfam family: Bacterial small subunit ribosomal RNA
Source: RNAcentral
GAUCCUGGCUCGGGAUGAACGCUAGCUACAGGCUUAACACAUGCAAGUCGAGGGGCAGCGGGAAGUCAGCUUGCUGACUUUGCCGGCGACCGGCGCACGGGUGAGUAACACGUAUCCAACCUUCCCGUUACUCUGGAAUAGCCUUUCGAAAGAAAGAUUAAUACCGGAUAGUAUCGAGAGAUUGCAUGAUUACCCGAUUAAAGAUUCAUCGGUAACGGAUGGGGAUGCGUUCCAUUAGGCAGUUGGCGGGG